This is a long non-coding RNA of Anas platyrhynchos (mallard), 803 nucleotides long. RefSeq lists it as uncharacterized. The record is from RefSeq and is a predicted model, not a curated record. Lineage: Eukaryota; Metazoa; Chordata; Aves; Anseriformes; Anatidae.
UCCAAGCUGUAAAAUCUCAACUCCUACAGCCUUUUUUCAUGAGAGCUAUAUUACAACUCUCUCAUCGUUCUUGAGGCCCUCCUCUGGACUCUCUCUAAUACGUCCACAUCUUUCUUAUGCUGGGGGCUCCAGAGCUGAAUGUAGUUCUCCAGCAGAUAUGAAGGAUGAAAAUAAACAGAACAUAAAGGACGGGAGAGUUGAAAGAAUAAAAGUCAGGACCAGAAAGAGAAUGAGGAAAAUCCAGAUAAGUCCGUUCCCUGCUGAACAAGAUGUCUGUCAGUUUCUCCAGCACCCAGCUUGAGCCAAUACUGUCGUCGCUAUUUGGCUGAGCAAGGCCUUGCCUGCAACGGCCAGUGUUUGAACAAGGCAAAGGCCAGACCAAAGAUCACCAUGGGAGUACUGUCUUUGGACAGUAGACUAUCGCACGAGAGAUUUUUCGUAUUGCUAUAGAAGAAGAGAAGAACAGAUGGCUGUAUUUUAAAAGUGGACAGACAUAGAAACAAUAGGUAAUACCACUUUAAAAACUGAGAGGUGAGGAGGAAGCUAAUAAUUUUAGUUAGAUUUGCAGACUUAAAGUUUCCUGCUGCACCUAUUUCCUAAGUGAUCCAGGGGUCACAACAGUAGUUUCAGCAUGUGAACAACAUUGGGGUGGCUGUGAAAUUCUAAACUUAUUUUAUACUCUGAAGUUAUCAAAUGGAGUUCUAAUGUUUACUGCAUUUUGUGUAAAUGAUUGUUUAUUGCCUGUGGCUUUCAAUCUUUGGAAUGGUAUAGAGAACAAUUGAAGUGUAAUCUGUUUUUGAAAA